Molecule: ribosomal RNA, 233 nt
Filed under: uncultured bacterium
Lineage: Bacteria
Description: partial 16S ribosomal RNA
Rfam family: Bacterial small subunit ribosomal RNA
Source: RNAcentral
CGGGUGAGUAACGCGUGAGGAGCCUGCCUCAAAGAGGGGGACAACAGUUGGAAACGACUGCUAAUACCGCAUAAGCCCACGGCUCGGCAUCGAGCAGAGGGAAAAGGAGUGAUCCACUUUGAGAUGGCCUCGCGUCCGAUUAGCUAGUUGGUGAGGUAACGGCCCACCAAGGCGACGAUCGGUAGCCGGACUGAGAGGUUGAACGGCCACAUUGGGACUGAGACACGGCCCAG